This 374-nucleotide ribosomal RNA is filed under the name uncultured bacterium. RNAcentral's name for it is "bacterial SSU rRNA". It matches the Rfam family "Bacterial small subunit ribosomal RNA", at positions 30 to 399 of the family's 1533-position model. The record is from RNAcentral.
AGUGAACGCUGGCGGCAGGCCUAAUACAUGCAAGUCGAACGGCAGCACAGCAGAGCUUGCUCUGUGGGUGGCGAGUGGCGGACGGGUGAGGAAUACAUGGGAAUCUGCCCAGUCGUGGGGGAUAACGUAUGGAAACGUACGCUAAUACCGCAUGCGCCCUAAGGGGGAAAGCCGGGACCGCAAGGCCUGGCGCGAUUGGAUGAGCCCAUGUUCGAUUAGCUAGUUGGCGGGGUAAAGGCCCACCAAGGCGACGAUCGAUAGCUGGUCUGAGAGGAUGAUCAGCCACACUGGAACUGAGACACGGUCCAGACUCCUACGGGAGGCAGCAGUGGGGAAUAUUGCACAAUGGGCGCAAGCCUGAUGCAGCGACGCCG